This 783-nucleotide long non-coding RNA is filed under the name Ananas comosus (pineapple). Its description in RNAcentral is "long non-coding RNA (ACOM_LNC039486)". Lineage: Eukaryota; Viridiplantae; Streptophyta; Magnoliopsida; Poales; Bromeliaceae. The record is from RNAcentral.
CAUAGCAAAUAUUCACAAUUAUUUGAUUAAAUCUUUCAAAAUAACAUUAUAAGAUCUCAUUGGAAUCAAAAAAACUGAAAUAAGUCUAUGCGAAAGCGUGCCAGUAGGAGGUCAUGCAUAUCCAUCAGCAAGCAAGCGUAUCAUGUGUCGGCACGAAAGCGUGCCGAUGCCGUACCGUGCCAGGCAGACAGCGGCAGACCCCCAUGCCACGGCACUUUAAACCUUGACACAACUAUUCUGAUGCAAGCAUCUCAAAACAGGGUAACCAAAUCAUUCAUGGAUUAUAGUUUGAUUAGUCAAGUCAUGGAUGGUAGGUACAUUCAGUCUUUACACAACAACUUAUUUGCAAUUUUAAAGUAUAUUUUCAAUUGAUUCUUUAUAUUAUAGAGGACUCAUUAAAAUGCAUGCAUUAAAUCAUUUUGGCACACUAUCCCUGACUGAGAUAUAGAGAGGACUCAUUAAAAUGCAUAUAUUAUAGAGGACUCAUUAAAAUGCAUGUGUUAAAUCAUUUGGCACACUAUCCUUAUUUUGUGCUUCGAUAUAUGAGAAAAUGUUUCAUGCUAACUAAUUAGCGAAUUGUUUUGCUUAAAAUAUUUUUUGUAGUUAAACUACGCCAACAAAGCAAGCUGAACAAAUAAUAUCAAAGAACAAAGGAAGGAUGCGCCUUUAUAUAUAACCAUGAAUGUGGAAAAAAAAAGAACAACACAUGAUAGCAUAUCAACUUUAUGUCAACUCCGUCACCAAAUUUAACUUAUUACCACUUUAUUACUAUUAUUAUUCAUU